AUAGUGUUUUACUUAGCAACAUGUAAUUGACAUGAAAAUGGAUGAGCUUUCCACCUAACAUUCAAAUGGUCCAUAUCUUGGUAUCAGCCUGCCAACUUAAGGCCACAGACCCUCUCCAGAUCCAUUUACCUUAAAUUUGUCAUGAAGGCAUUAACCUGACUCUGAAAUCAGAACUUAACUUGACACUUUCAAACAAAUGACCAAAGGGCUAUUUUUAGAGGCACAUAAAUUUAUUCAUCAAUCAUUUUCUCAUAUAAACUAAAUAUAUAAAAAUUUGCUCCUCUCUUUUAUUCAGAUCUGGCCACGUACCCUUCAACAUCUCCAUAAAAUUAUCUUUUAGAGAGAAGACCCAGUAUUUUCUGCUCAAAGAUUUAUUCUGAUUCAAGUAUCUUAGCUAUGUGACCUUCAUCUGUCAGCUUCCUUUCAAAAAUUAAACCCACAGAUUAACACGUUUUGAUUACUUAAAAAUUACAUACUUUGAAGGUACCGUUCUUCCUAUUAAUCAUCUGGUUACAAUGAAAGAAAUAUUUCCUAGUGGAAGGCUGGUAUGUUGCUUGUCAGACUUGAGAACAGAAGCCCAAACGGCAGGUGUGAGAAGAUACGCAAGACAUCUUUUUCUGGAAAAAUCUAUACUUGUUUCUUGAGGAAAAAUAUUGCCAAUUUCAGGGUAUUUCCUACAGUUUCAUUAACAAGAGCUCAACACAGAAAUAGCUGUUUGCUUAAUAUGUUUAUUGUCUCUGAAAAAUCAUAGAAAAUUGUGAUUUGGUUAUUAGCUCUCAGCAGCCCGUUCCUGAGCUCUGAGGAAGCUUGCUUUCUUCUGAGCUACCCGAUCUUUCUUCUGGGCAAGAGACAUUUUGGGACGGUUCCACCUACAAAACAA
Long non-coding RNA from Pipistrellus kuhlii (Kuhl's pipistrelle), 880 nucleotides. RefSeq lists it as uncharacterized. The record is from RefSeq and is a predicted model, not a curated record. NCBI's taxonomy places the organism in Eukaryota, Metazoa, Chordata, Mammalia, Chiroptera, Vespertilionidae. The transcript has 2 exons.